This 254-nucleotide ribosomal RNA is filed under the name uncultured bacterium. Its description in RNAcentral is "partial 16S ribosomal RNA". It matches the Rfam family "Bacterial small subunit ribosomal RNA", at positions 524 to 776 of the family's 1533-position model. The record is from RNAcentral.
UACGGGGGGAGCAAGCGUUGUUCGGAUUUACUGGGCGUAAAGGGCGCGUAGGCGGCCAGCACAACUCAGUUGUGAAAUCUCCGAGCUUAACUCGGAAAGGUCAACUGAUACUGUGCGGCUAGAGUGCGGAAGGGGCAACUGGAAUUCUUGGUGUAGCGGUGAAAUGCGCAGAUAUCAGGAGGAACACCAAUGGCGAAGGCGGCUCUCUGGACGGUGACUGACGCUGAGACGCGAAAGCGUGGGGAGCAAACAGG